Triticum dicoccoides is the source of this 479-nucleotide long non-coding RNA. RefSeq lists it as uncharacterized. The transcript has 2 exons. NCBI's taxonomy places the organism in Eukaryota, Viridiplantae, Streptophyta, Magnoliopsida, Poales, Poaceae. The record is from RefSeq and is a predicted model, not a curated record.
UUUCCGCGAGCCAGGCCCGCGCCUGCACCCGCGCGUGCAAAGUCGCGAGCUAGGUCUCGUCUUCCGGUCCUGUCGGCUCGCAUUUUCCCCAGCUCCCCGCCGCUCUCUUCUCUGAUGCGACGCAUUUGGAUCUCGUCGUCCUCGCUGCAUCUACCGUUCGCCGUCGCAUCUCCUCACCGGUGCCAAGGAUAAAGAAGAACUAGAGAUCAGCUAGCUAGAGGAAGAAGAAGAAGAUAGACAAGCUAGUUUGUUUUGUAUUUGUGCUGUUGGGAUUAAGAGAUCAGCUAGCUAGAGUAGAUAUUGUAGACAGUAAAAAGUGCCUUCAGAGCUGUUCUGUGUAUGUAUGCAAAAUAUAGGACCUUGUGAAUGUUGACAAUGGAAUACACAGAAGUACAUCAAUUUUCAUUUGUUUUCUUUCCCUGUUUAGCUGCCUCUUUGAUUCCAAGGAUUUCAUAUGAAAUUGCAGACAUUAUGAUUUC